Molecule: non-coding RNA, 27 nt
Filed under: Mus musculus (house mouse)
Lineage: Eukaryota; Metazoa; Chordata; Mammalia; Rodentia; Muridae
Source: RNAcentral
UUGCCUCAAAGAUAAAUGAGCUAGUGG